GAUGAACGCUGGCGGCGUGCCUAAUACAUGCAAGUCGAGCGAACAGACGCGGAUCUUGCUCCUCUGACGUUAGCAGCGGACGGGUGAGUAACACGUGGAUAACCUACCUAUAAGACUUGGAUAACUGCGGGAAACCGGAGCUAUUACCGUAUAAUAUAUUCGACCGCAUGGGUCAGUAGUGAAAUACUGGUUUUGUGUCGCUUUGGGAUGGAUCCGCUGCGUAUUAGCUUGUUGGUAAGGUAACGGCUUACCAAGGCGACGAUGGGUAGCCGGCCUGAGCGGGUGACCGGCCACACUGGGACUGAGACACGGCCCAGACUCCUACGGGAGGCAGCAGAGGGGAAUAUUGCACAAUGGGCGCAAGCCUGAUGCGGCGACGCCGCGUGAGGGAUGACGGCCUUCGGGUUGUAAACCUCUUUCAGUAGGGAAGAAGCGAGAGUGACGGUACCUGCAGAAGAAGCGCCGGCUAACUACGUG
Molecule: ribosomal RNA, 477 nt
Filed under: uncultured bacterium
Lineage: Bacteria
Description: partial 16S ribosomal RNA
Rfam family: Bacterial small subunit ribosomal RNA
Source: RNAcentral